This 262-nucleotide long non-coding RNA is filed under the name Lathyrus oleraceus (garden pea). RNAcentral's name for it is "Pisum sativum (pea) long non-coding RNA (PSAT_LNC017284)". Lineage: Eukaryota; Viridiplantae; Streptophyta; Magnoliopsida; Fabales; Fabaceae. The record is from RNAcentral.
UGGUUUUUAGGUUCAGAGUCAAUGUCAUUAUUCUUUUCACUAUGUUUGUUCUAACAUACCAUUGCCAUUUCUUUUCUUUUUCAGCUCAGUUACUCAGUUCUUUUUGUUUUUGGUUAUGUAUCCAACUGAGUGUUUUUCAUUUGGUGAUUGAUUUUUUUUGUUCCAUCGAUUUUCUAUUAUAUUUUCUCUUUCUUUUGUUUCCUUUUUUUUUCAAUGGUCGUUUUUCUUAUAUUCUCCGCACUCACCUUACUUUCAGUUUCUU